GGUGGACCUCGGCUCUCGCACCGAUGAAGAACGCAGCCAAGCUGCGAUAGCGAAGCUCAGUGAGACAGUCGACUUUUGAACGCAAUCUCCUCCU
RNAcentral lists this ribosomal RNA (94 nucleotides) under Climacostomum virens. RNAcentral's name for it is "partial 5.8S ribosomal RNA". Lineage: Eukaryota; Ciliophora; Heterotrichea; Heterotrichida; Climacostomidae. The record is from RNAcentral.